This is a long non-coding RNA of Rana temporaria (common frog), 499 nucleotides long. RefSeq lists it as uncharacterized. Lineage: Eukaryota; Metazoa; Chordata; Amphibia; Anura; Ranidae. The record is from RefSeq and is a predicted model, not a curated record. The transcript has 2 exons.
GUGAGUAGAAGACGCUCCCUCGUCCGAAUACUGCCUCAAAAUGGCGCCGGUGUCAGGCGAGCGGUUUAUGACUCAUCCACCAGCACGCGCUGCGCUGUGACGUCCCGCCGAUCCACAAUGUAUGCUGGCACGAGACUCGGCAGCUGAAGAGAGGAUUAGGAUUUCUCCUCCCUCCAGCCUGCAGGUGGCACAAGAGAGCACCUCUGUGCAGUGAGGGAAGGCUGGCUGUGACAUGAGGAGUGCGGAGAUCUCCGGAGGAAGAACAGAGGAGGGCCAACCAUGUCUUCCCGGUUGCUGAGAAAGUGAAACAUUUCUUCAGGAUGUACUCCAUUAAUGGGCACAAAAUGACGGCCCUGAGGCCGGCAUACCAUGCCGAGAGCUACAGCCCCGAUGAUAACCGGUUUGACCCCCGACCAUUGCUGUAUGAUGCAUCGUGGACAUCAAUUUAAUCAGUUUUUCAUUUCCAUACUAAAUGUUGAAUAUAAUUUAUUUUUCUACU